CCUACGGGUGGCAGCAGUGGGGAAUAUUGGGCAAUGGGCGCAAGCCUGACCCAGCAACGCCGCGUGAAGGAAGAAGGCCUUCGGGUUGUAAACUUCUUUUAAGAGGGAAGAGCAGAAGACGGUACCUCUUGAAUAAGCCACGGCUAACUACGUGCCAGCAGCCGCGGUAAUAAGUAGGGGGCAAGCGUGGUCCGGAUUUACUGGGGGUAAAGGGCGUGCAGCGGGGAAGACAAGUCGGAUGUGAAAUCCCGGGGCUGAACCGCGGAACGGCAUGUGAAACCGUUUUUCUUGAGUACCGGAGAGGGCGUCGGAAUUCGUGGUGUAGCGGUGAAAUGCGUAGAUAUAAGGAAGAACACCGGUGGCGAAGGCAGAUGACUGGACGGCAACUGACGGUGAGGCGCGAAAGCGUGGGGAGCAAACAGGAUUAGAUACCCGAGUAGUC
This 442-nucleotide ribosomal RNA is filed under the name uncultured bacterium. RNAcentral's name for it is "partial 16S ribosomal RNA". It matches the Rfam family "Bacterial small subunit ribosomal RNA", at positions 338 to 795 of the family's 1533-position model. The record is from RNAcentral.